RNAcentral lists this long non-coding RNA (827 nucleotides) under Equus caballus (horse). Its description in RNAcentral is "lncRNA (ENSECAG00000046218.1)". Lineage: Eukaryota; Metazoa; Chordata; Mammalia; Perissodactyla; Equidae. The record is from RNAcentral.
UGGGCCUCAAGGUUGUGGGUGCUAAGGAAGGUGUAGAAGGUUAAGAGAUGGAAGGGCCCCAAGGCCAAACCUGCUUUAUAGUUUUCCAAAAAGCUGACAUGCUGGAAGAAAAUGGCUCUUUCUCUGAAGGGUCUGAGACGAUGGUAUGGCUUAGAUGACUCACUUCAAAGCAAUUACAAUCUUCCAUCCUUAUGUGAAGCCGCAGGGACACAGGGCUGAUGCAGAGAAUGCUGCUGGGGGAGUCUGAUUCUCGGUCCUAUGACUCAGUUUCCUCAGAACAACAAUGAAAAGUGAAGCUCACAGAAGUCAACAACUUCUCCAGGCUAAUGGCAAAGGGAGGAUUAGAACUCAAGUUUCAAGAUUUCCAGUGGGCUCUCUCCCUUGCUGGCUUUGAUGAAACAAGCUGCCAUGUUGCGAGCUGUCCUAUGGCGACAUGUACAUGGCAAGGAACCAAGGGUGGUCCCUGGCCAACAGCAAGCAAGAAACUAAACCCUGCCUUCAACCAUAUGAGCUUGGAAGCAGAUCCUUCCCCAUCAAAGUCUUCAGAUGAGACCGCAUCCCUUACUGACACCUUCACUGUAUCCUUGUGAAGAACUUGAAACAGGGGAGCCAACUAAGUCAUGCCCAGAUUCUCAAGCCACAGAAACUAUGAGCUAAUAAAUAUGUGUUGUUUUUAGCUGCUAAAUUUUGUGGUAAUUGGUUACUCAGCAAUAUAUCACUAAUAUGGUAUGUUUGCAUAUUAUGAUAUCAUUUAACAAAUACAACACCAAAGCCCAGUUUAGAGCUAUCCUGAUACGUAUCAUUCUUUAAUAUAUUGCAGUUAUUCA